This 21-nucleotide non-coding RNA is filed under the name Caenorhabditis elegans. The record is from RNAcentral. Lineage: Eukaryota; Metazoa; Nematoda; Chromadorea; Rhabditida; Rhabditidae.
UCUCUCUUCAGAUAUCGUUUC